AAGAAAAUGGUAGUUAAUGCAAAACUCGUCAUCUUGGCAAUACGCGCAUGACGAGAUAUUGAAUGAUAGGCUACACAUCAGUCAUUUUAGAGUAAUGAACAUAGUUAUAACUAUGUGUCGUCCAUGAACUAUGAACGAUUACGGGACAAACAUGACCACCACGGGGCGGAUCAUUUUUUAUUUUAUGGCUAUGUAUGGCUAUAGUAAAGCCUUGUUAACACUCUUAAAGCCAGAUUUACUGUCCGUUCCUCAUGAAACUUGGUCAGGUGAUUGGUUUUAGGGUCCUAUGGCUUGUUAUUAAGAGAAAUGUAGGUGAUGGGUUUAAGAGCCAUAUAUAUUGUCAUAAAUGGUAAUGCAGGUGAUUGGUUGAAGAGCCCUAUGGAUGUAGUGUAGGUGGUUGUCUUAAUCAAGGUGCCUGAACCACGUAACUUUUUCGGCUAUGUGUGGGACAAUCGGAUGUAAACAAAACGUCGCUUCAGACUUGAAAAGGAUUAGUCGAAAGAUCUGUAACGCUUUUAAGGUUCGAAGCUGUGUAAGAACUACAUGAACACCAUCAUAUCACACGGAAGGUGAUAUGUGGCAAGUUAAUUAUCAAAACCACAGUGACAGAGACAGGGACCCCGCUUCAUUCUGUGAUGUUUAUGGAAAGCUAUUUCAACUAACUAUGCAAACAUUCAUGUUCUUAUACGGAUUUAAUAGCGUUUGGGAACAAAUGAAUCCCUAUGUGUAUGCGUCUAGACAACGAUCAUAUCGUGCUUAUACAUCCGGUUUUGUAAAUGAAGGGCCCCGAUAAAGCAGCGACCAACUAACAAUAUCAUGUGCUGAUACGGUCUAUUUUUAAAUGUUAUAAAUAAUGCACCAUUAUCAUCAAUGGAUCUAUAUUGUUAUAUCAGGGUAAAUUAAUUACAGCAUGAUACUCACGCUCAUCAAGCCAAAAACAAAGUGCAUACAAAUGCAAGUCAUCAACAAUCACUUAAUAACAUAAUGUUAAUGAACUCACGGUACAUUUGAUCCUGUAUAAAGUGUACUUCUUCUAAAGAAAAACAAAUCCAGUCACCAUUUUCGCCGCGUAUUACUACAGCGGACUUCGAAUAAUAUUAGGGAACGAUGCCUUGUUAAUCAUAUUUCAACAGUUAUGAAGUUAAGAGAAACAUGAAUAUAUAUUGACAAUAAUAAUAUUAUAAUAUUAAGUUGAUGUGUAAAGUACCAUAUAUUUGAAAGAAAUUAAACAUAGGAAACAAUGCAGGCGAUAUACUUGAGGUAUCUUCGUUUAAAAUAAAUUGUAUUUUAAAUAUUAAAAUACUAUUGUUGAAUACAAAAUGUGCUGUUUGGCUAGAAAUCGAUAAGAAGCUCUGUCUGACAGUAAAAAUGUUUAUAUUUACACGUGUAUCAGCUAACGAAAGCUAUACAGUCUUAUUGAUGACUUGUAUAAUAAUACAAGUCAUCGUUAAGGCUAUGAUUUUGUUUAAAGUGACAUGGAUAGUCGUACUUUUAAUGAACAAGAUCCAUUUUUUAUGAUGAAUACCUUGAUGAAAAACAGUCAUAUGUAGUCAAUAAUUAAAAAAGUUCACGUCGUAUUGCUAAAGGUAAAGUAAUAAAAUAAUGCGGUAAAAGUCCAAUGCAUUUUUUUCACGUAACCUGUGUUUCAAGUCACAAUGGGAGAUAAAAAAAAAUAUACGUUGGGGGAUAUUACACUUUUAUAACAUAAUUGGUGUACAUUAUAAAUAAUGGUGUUUGCAACAAUUAAACGGUUUAGUCUAUCUAGACUGU
Long non-coding RNA from Dreissena polymorpha, 1770 nucleotides. RefSeq lists it as uncharacterized. Lineage: Eukaryota; Metazoa; Mollusca; Bivalvia; Myida; Dreissenidae. The record is from RefSeq and is a predicted model, not a curated record. The transcript is spliced from 2 exons.